AUGUGGAUAAAGCACACCUGGGCUGCGACUGCGGGGCCGGGCUCAGCGCCAGGCUGUCCCCGGGCGGGCAGCAUUCCUGCGCCGGGGCGCUCACUCCUUAGGAAGCGCUCCCGGGAGAGUUCCGUGAACCUGUGCGGGCACCGCGUCUGCGUGAGCCGCCGGCAGGGGCAGCCUGGGCUGCCCCUUGCCGGGCGGGGGGCUCCCUCCAGCCGGCGAGAGGGCGAGCGCUGUGCUUAUUUCUUUGCAAGAAGAUCUCUUCAGGCACCCCGAGCGGCGCUCCCCGGCCUUUUGCAAUAUAGAGGGGAAGCAGGUAAGAAGUGCCGGUCGCUCCCCCGCGUCUCGCAGCGUUCGUGUGCGCGGUGCCCGCCCGCCGCCGCCGUCCCGCUGCCCGCCGGGCGGAGGGGCGCGGAGCCGCGGACCCCGGGCAUUGUCGCGGCCCCCGUACAAAGCCUGGCGGCGGCCGCCGCUGGAGCGCCUUCCCUUACCCCCCUUCCCAGCUGCCGCCGGGAAAGGGCUCUGCCUGCCUCGGCUGUGAAUGGAGGGGACGGGGGGGUGGGUGGGGGAGGCUGGGGCACCCGCUUCCCCUGUAGUAAACACUGUUCUGAAACAGUGGCAGAAAAGAUCAAAGUGAGCCCUCUAUUUCUCUCCUCUCCGGUUCCCUUCCUGCCCCACACACCGUCUUUUGUUUCAAUCCAGGAGAAAAUCGGUGAAUCACCUAAUUAAAACCAAUACAUGAAUUAAGCAUCCAUUUUUGUACUACAAAUUUCCAGCUCUCCGCUUGUCCCUCCCUUGGUCUCCAUUAAAAAAGCACCAGAGACGCUGUUAAAAGGGGGGGUAUUUUGCCUCUAGCUUCUAGCUCUGCUUUCUAUUUCACUGACUCCUAUCCCAGGACCAAAAUUGCUUGGCUCUGUAAUUACUAGAGUAAGCCUAUUUAAGUUAAAAGCUUUCCCCCCCAACUCUAAAUGAAACUUGAUGAGGGCCCGUCCUUAGUUAUCAAGGGAGUCACUUUCUGGUCAGUCCUCUUGAUUCAUCUUUUUAGAUUUAAUCAGCAUUAAGGUAUUGCUUGUCCUUAAGAGCUUUAGCUUAAUGGGGUUACUGGAUGGUUUUCUCAGUGUAACGUUUCCCAUUUUAUAUUUAUACAUAUUUGUCUUCGACAAAGACAGGUUAAGGUGGUGGCAUGGAGCCUUUUUCUUUCUUUUAAGAAAUCCGAAGUGAUUUAAAGCAUAGGAAAACGGUUUAAAGACUCGGAGCAGGAAAUGCAGAUUCAUUAGGCUGUAGCUGGAAACUGUAACAAAAGGCAAUUCCUUGAACAAAUGCAUCAGAAAUCAAUUUACAUAAAGGUACACGAUGAGUUCGGAUAAAUGCAAUGCUAAUGGCUUUUAGAGUGGUUUUCUUUCCAAAGUCUCGGGGUUUUUGUUACAGCUUAAUUGGUGCAGUUCUCCUGGUUUAUUGUGCGGUCACUGGACAUACCUCCAGGUACUCUUUCUGAGGAAAUGUGUUUAAAUCGGCCUCAGUUCUCCCCUGCAGCCGAGUUGGGCCAGUGUCAGGAAAAGUUCGUCCUCGCUGCUCUGGACGUAUCAGUCUGAAGGUCCUUAGCAGAUAGCCAGAUGCCUCGGCAUGAGCACAUACGGCUUACAAAGGACAAAGACAAAACAUGCUGCUUAAUUGGCAGUAAAUAACUUGAUCUUUUUAUAGUAUAAGUGACUGGAGGAACACCGGGAGUUUAUUGGACCCUGGAUUGAAGGCAACAAAUUAAUCGGUUUAGAGUAAGCUUUAUGAAUUGAUUCCUAUAUUAUCUCUCGGUUGUCCUGCUUGCAUAAAGCAUUUAUUAGAAAGUGAAAAAUGCCCUUAGUAGCAGUUUCGGGGGCGGCCAGAGUAACCGCAGCCGGAGCGAUUCGCUUCAUUACUCGACCGCUUUCUUAGGGUCGAUAAACUUUUUUCUCUUUUUUCCUUUUUUUUUUUUUUUUUUGGUAACAAAGCUUUAGCAUUUAAACUGCUGAUCAAGGGCAGAUUAGCGAGACAAAAGUUGAGUGUGUUUGUGUAGGAAGUUAACAGGCGUCCUAAAGUUCAAUGAUCUAUUAUUCGGGCCAGUGUCCUCGAUCUGGAGUGUUUUCUCGGAGUGUUUUUAGUUCUCUAAAAUAAAACCACAGAAAAUAAAAUCCCA
This is a long non-coding RNA of Junco hyemalis (dark-eyed junco), 2164 nucleotides long. The record is from Ensembl. NCBI's taxonomy places the organism in Eukaryota, Metazoa, Chordata, Aves, Passeriformes, Passerellidae.